AAUAAGUGUAGUUUUGCACUAUUUACGUUCAACGUUUGACCGUUCAUCUUAUUUAAAUUUUUUUUAUGAUUAGUAUUUUUAUCGCAUUAGAUGAUAAAACAUGAAUAGUACUUUAUGUGUGACUAAAUAUUUUCAAUUUUUUUUACAAAUUUUUUAAAUAAGACGGACGGUUAAACGUUCGGCACGGAUAUCCACGGCUGCACUUAUU
MicroRNA precursor from Oryza sativa Japonica Group (Japanese rice), 208 nucleotides. It matches the Rfam family "MIR812 microRNA precursor family". Lineage: Eukaryota; Viridiplantae; Streptophyta; Magnoliopsida; Poales; Poaceae. The record is from Rfam.